UGCGUAGGCGGCUUGUCAAGCCAGAGGUGAAAGGCAUUGGCUCAACCAAUGUAAGCCUUUGGAACUGACGAACUUGAGUACAGGAGAGGUAAGUGGAAUUCCUAGUGUAGAGGUGAAAUUCGCAGAUAUUAGGAGGAACACCAGUGGCGAAGGCGACUUACUGGACUGUAACUGACGCUGAGGCACGAAAGCGUGGGUAGCGAACA
Molecule: ribosomal RNA, 206 nt
Filed under: uncultured bacterium
Lineage: Bacteria
Description: partial 16S ribosomal RNA
Rfam family: Bacterial small subunit ribosomal RNA
Source: RNAcentral